UCGCGGCCUAUCAGCUUGUUGGGGGGGUAAUGGCCUACCAAGGCUUCGACGGGUAGCCGGCCUGAGAGGGUGACCGGCCACACUGGGACUGAGACACGGCCCAGACUCCUACGGGAGGCAGCAGUGGGGAAUAUUGGACAAUGGGCGAAAGCCUGAUCCAGCAACGCCGCGUGAGGGAUGACGGCCUUCGGGUUGUAAACCUCUUUCAGUACCGACGAAGCGCCUCUAGAGAUGGUGACGGUAGGUACAGAAGAAGGACCGGCCAACUACGUGCCAGCAGCCGCGGUAAUACGUAGGGUCCGAGCGUUGUCCGGAAUUAUUGGGCGUAAAGGGCCCGUAGGCGGUCUGUUGCGUCGGGAGUGAAAUCUUACAGCUUAACUGUGAACUUGCUUUCGAUACGGGCAGACUUGAGGCAUUCAGGGGAGAACGGAAUUCCUGGUGUAGCGGUGAAAUGCGCAGAUAUCAGGAGGAACACCGGUGGCGAAGGCGGUUCUCUGGGAAUGUCCUGACGCUGAGGAGCGAAAGUGUGGGGAGCGAACAGGAUUAGAUACCCUGGUAGUCCACACCGUAAACGUUGGGCGCUAGGUGUGGGGCCUAUUCCAUGGGUUCCGUGCCGCAGCUAACGCAUUAAGCGCCCCGCCUGGGGAGUACGGA
This 654-nucleotide ribosomal RNA is filed under the name uncultured Actinomycetes bacterium. RNAcentral's name for it is "bacterial SSU rRNA". It matches the Rfam family "Bacterial small subunit ribosomal RNA", at positions 231 to 886 of the family's 1533-position model. The record is from RNAcentral. Lineage: Bacteria; Bacillati; Actinomycetota; Actinomycetes.